RNAcentral lists this ribosomal RNA (479 nucleotides) under uncultured bacterium. RNAcentral describes it as "bacterial SSU rRNA". It matches the Rfam family "Bacterial small subunit ribosomal RNA", at positions 56 to 510 of the family's 1533-position model. The record is from RNAcentral.
UGCAGUCGUACGAGAAAGUCCGCUUCGGUGGAUGAGUAAAGUGGCGCACGGGUGAGUAACGCGUGGAUAAUCUACCCUUUAGUCUGGAAUAACUUAUCGAAAGGUGAACUAAUACCGGAUAAUAUCCCGAUUUCUUCGGCGAUCGGGAUCAAAGAAGGCCUCUGCUUGCAAGCUUUCACUGAAGGAUGAGUCCGCGUACCAUUAGCUAGUUGGCAGGGUAAUGGCCUACCAAGGUUAUGAUGGUUAGCUGGUCUGAGAGGAUGAUCAGCCACACUGGAACUGAAACACGGUCCAGACUCCUACGGGAGGCAGCAGUGAGGAAUAUUGCGCAAUGGGGGCAACCCUGACGCAGCAACGCCGCGUGAGUGAGGAAGGUUUUCGGAUUGUAAAGCUCUGUCGAGCGGAAAGAAGUGCAUGGUGGUUAAUAUCCAUCAUGCUUGACGGUACCGCUAAAGGAAGCACCGGCUAACUCCGUGCCA